RNAcentral lists this ribosomal RNA (489 nucleotides) under uncultured bacterium. RNAcentral describes it as "partial 16S ribosomal RNA". It matches the Rfam family "Bacterial small subunit ribosomal RNA", at positions 29 to 505 of the family's 1533-position model. The record is from RNAcentral.
AGUGAACGCUGGCGGUAGGCCUAACACAUGCAAGUCGAACGGCAGCACAGUAAGAGCUUGCUCUUACGGGUGGCGAGUGGCGGACGGGUGAGGAAUACAUCGGAAUCUACUUUUUCGUGGGGGAUAACGUAGGGAAACUUACGCUAAUACCGCAUACGACCUACGGGUGAAAGCAGGGGAUCUUCGGACCUUGCGCGAUUGAAUGAGCCGAUGUCGGAUUAGCUAGUUGGCGGGGUAAAGGCCCACCAAGGCGACGAUCCGUAGCUGGUCUGAGAGGAUGAUCAGCCACACUGGAACUGAGACACGGUCCAGACUCCACGGGAGGCAGCAGUGGGGAAUAUUGGACAAUGGGCGCAAGCCUGAUCCAGCCAUACCGCGUGGGUGAAGAAGGCCUUCGGGUUGUAAAGCCCUUUUGUUGGGAAAGAAAAGCAGCAGGUUAAUACCCCGCUGUUCUGACGGUACCCAAAGAAUAAGCACCGGCUAACUUCG